This 72-nucleotide transfer RNA is filed under the name Ovis aries (sheep). It matches the Rfam family "tRNA". From Rfam's summary of the family: Transfer RNA (tRNA) molecules are approximately 80 nucleotides in length. Their secondary structure includes four short double-helical elements and three loops (D, anti-codon, and T loops). Lineage: Eukaryota; Metazoa; Chordata; Mammalia; Artiodactyla; Bovidae. The record is from Rfam by way of RNAcentral.
UCCCUGGUAGCUCAGAUGGUAAAGAAUCUGCCUGCAGUGCAGGAGAUCCAGGCUCAAUCUCUGGUCAGGAAG